AAAAGACUUAGUCCUAACCUUACCGUUAAUUUUUGCUAAACAUAUACAUGCAAGUAUCCGCGCCCCAGUGUAAAUGCCCUUGACCCCUUACUAAGGAAAAAGGAGCGGGUAUCAGGCACACCAACACAAUCGUAGCCCAAGACACCUUGCUCGGCCGCACCCCCACGGGUAUUCAGCAGUAGUUAACAUUAAGCAAUAAGUGUAAACUUGACUUAGUUAUAGCAACCUUCAGGGUUGGUAAAUCUUGUGCCAGCCACCGCGGUCACACAAGAGACCCAAAUUAACCGUACACGGCGUAAAGAGUGGCACUAUGAUAUCACACCGACUAGGGUCGAAGCACGACUAAGCUGUCAUAAGCUCAAGACGCACCUAAGACCACUUUCAAAAUAGCCCUAGCAUUAUCGAUCAAUUUAACUCCACGAAAGCCUGGGCACAAACUGGGAUUAGAUACCCCACUAUGCCUGGCCCUAAAUCUCGAUGCUUGCUAUACUAGAGCAUCCGCCUGAGAACUACGAGCACAAACGCUUAAAACUCUAAGGACUUGGCGGUGUCCCAAAUCCACCUAGAGGAGCCUGUUCUAUAAUCGAUAACCCACGAUAUACCCGACCACCCCUCGCCCAAAACAGCCUAUAUACCGCCGUCGCCAGCUCACCUUCCCUGAAAGCGCAGCAGUGAGCAUAAUAGCCAAACCCGCUAACAAGACAGGUCAAGGUAUAGCCCAUGGGGUGGAAGAAAUGGGCUACAUUCUCUAGAGUAGAGAACUUCACGGAAGGGGGCAUGAAACCGCCCCCGGAAGGCGGAUUUAGCAGUAAACUGGGACAAUAAAGCCCUCUUUAAGUUGGCCCUGGGACACGUACAUACCGCCCGUCACCCUCCUCACAAGCCACAAGUCCCCAUAAUUAAUACUCUUCUUCCGGCUGAAGAUGAGGUAAGUCGUAACAAGGUAAGUGUACCGGAAGGUGCACUUAGCAUACC
RNAcentral lists this non-coding RNA (975 nucleotides) under Glareola pratincola. RNAcentral describes it as "12S ribosomal RNA". It matches the Rfam family "Bacterial small subunit ribosomal RNA". Lineage: Eukaryota; Metazoa; Chordata; Aves; Charadriiformes; Glareolidae. The record is from RNAcentral.